GAAGAUACACAUCUUACUAAAGUGCCCAUGAACUAAAUACAGUGCUUAGUCAAGCUCUUAAAACAUACCAUGUGAAUACUGGGAUAAACACAUCUCUUUGCUGCAUGUUCAUACUAUUUUUAUCUCAUUAUAUGGCACUGAAAAGUGAGCAGGAAAGGGAGAAAAGCUUCCUUUUCCUGGAACAAAAAUCUGCUGAGCAGAACCAUCUUCUGUUCAGGAGUCUGGAUACAAAAAGAGACCACUAACUACUAUCUCUGUCUGCAGCAAAAACGUGCUAUUCCAUACUGUCACACACUUAAGUGCAACCCAGCUGAUUUGCUGGAUCUCUAGGAUUAGGGUUGAGGGGACACCGUUGUAGAUGGGAGGUCUUGUAUAUCUGUUGCUGUGAGGGCACUGUGGAUUGACAACUGAGAGAAGAGAUGGGUGUGAGCUGAAGCCUGAUUGAAACACAUCUCAUCAUGUGAAACAACAGCCAAUCAUAAUCUCAUCAUCUACAUCACAAUCAAUUGUUUGGUCAAUGAAAAGCGGACAAGUUGAUCGUGGAAAGCAAAACCUAAACAAAUGUUGGAGUGAUGUAGGCAGUGCAGCUCAUCUGGAAGAGGGAUACUGGGAACUAAGUGAAUAAUUGCUUUCAGAGAGGCCCAUACCCCCAGCAGCCCACUGUAGACCGACUGCUGGGUCUGCUUUUCAGCAUGCAGCAGAAUGACAAAAAAAAAGGAAACUUGGAGAUGUCAUCUGCUUUCAGGCUUAAGUGUGAUCCCUUCUAAAUGUUUUUACCAGAAAGAAACCCACAGGGAUUCGAGAACUAGCUUUCUAAGGAGUCUCAGGGAGGUAUUGAGAAAACUUGCGGCUUCUCACAUUUCACUUUUCCCAAAGAGACGAACAAAUAGCUGAAUUCAGUAAACAGCUAUGUGUGAAUUUGAAGGGAUUUUGAGGUGUAACAGAAUUUGCACACUAAUUUAUUAUUUAGCUAGAAUUUGGUAAGGAGCAAAAGAAAUACAGUGGAAAAAUAAAUCUGGGGAUUGAGCAACCAAGUAUAUUCUGGCUCUGUCUGCAGUAUUCCACUAUGAUACAAUUCAACCACAAAAUCUGCUUCAUGUGUAGGGAUCACUUCUAAUGAAGACAUGUUUAAAAUAUCUGAAGACUUGCAAGAAAAUUAGUCUGUUGAAAUGGAACAGGGUGAUUGGUCACAUUCAUUUUCAGUACCUGAUUACAAAUGACAAAAUUGAUAAUUCAGUUCUUAUUACAACGUCAAGCAAAACAUACUAUAUGUGAUGGGAGACUUGUCCAGCUGCAGCACUGGUUUUCAAUGUAGUGACAAGCCCUGUGGUUUAGUAUCACAAUCUGACCAUGCCAGUGCUGACUGUGGCCAGCUGCAGCCCACAGAUGCAGCACAUUAUUGGCCACAGUGUUGGCUGGUCAGGCUUCUGUAGCAUGCCGGCAAUAACAGUGUGAAGUGCCCUUUACUGCAAUAUCUGUAUAACCCAGCAGGUGAACUGUAGCAUGAAAGUGAUGGACAAACUGACAGAGGACACUUCGGAGGUAGGACAGAUCCAGAGGAACUGGGAAUCAGAUUUUGUAAAUAAAUAAAAAUAAUAAUAAUUAAAAUGUUUCGUGCAGAAACAGUGUGUACAUAUAAACCGAGUGUGCCUCACACCCAAACCACACCAGUUAUGAGAAAGUGUUUAAGCACUGAUGUCAUCUUUCAGCAUUGAUGCCAAGUUAAAUAACUUACAUUUCCAAACACUACCAUACUUCUACUGUAUAAGGAAUGUCUCCCUGUAAUGUAUGUUGGAUAACAGUGCAUAGACAAGACAGCUUAAUGUUCACUCACUCCCCUGAUAGAUAACCUGAUGAACCUGGGGUCUGUGUGUGAAGGGCAGAUGGUGUUUCAAUGCUGGGCGUGGUGGUGUGUUUCCAUGCUAUUCAGCUACAGUUAACUACUUAACAUUUAGUGCAGAGCUUGUUCAA
This is a long non-coding RNA of Anguilla rostrata (American eel), 1971 nucleotides long. RefSeq lists it as uncharacterized. Lineage: Eukaryota; Metazoa; Chordata; Actinopteri; Anguilliformes; Anguillidae. The transcript is spliced from 3 exons. The record is from RefSeq and is a predicted model, not a curated record.